CCUACGGAGGGCAGCAGUGAGGAAUAUUGGUCAAUGGGCGGAAGCCUGAACCAGCCAAGUAGCGUGCAGGAUGACGGCCCUACGGGUUGUAAACUGCUUUUAUACGGGAAUAACGCGCCUUACGUGUAGGGCUUUGCAUGUACCGUAUGAAUAAGGACCGGCUAAUUCCGUGCCAGCAGCCGCGGGAAUACGGAAGGUCCGGGCGUUAUCCGGAUUUAUUGGGUUUAAAGGGCGCGUAGGCCGCAUGUCAAGCGUGCUGUGAAAUGUCCGGGCUCAACCCGGGCCUUGCAGCGCGAACUGGCGUGCUUGAGUCCGCGGAAAGCAGGCGGAAUUCGUCGUGUAGCGGUGAAAUGCUUAGAUAUGACGAAGAACCCCGAUUGCGAAGGCAGCUUGCUGCAGCGGAACUGACGCUGAUGCUCGAAAGCGCGGGUAUCGAACAGGAUUAGAUACCCUUGUAGUC
RNAcentral lists this ribosomal RNA (460 nucleotides) under uncultured bacterium. Its description in RNAcentral is "partial 16S ribosomal RNA". It matches the Rfam family "Bacterial small subunit ribosomal RNA", at positions 338 to 795 of the family's 1533-position model. The record is from RNAcentral.